CUCCAGCAGCCCCUUUCCCCUUCUUCCCCAAGAUCCAGCGCGUGCUCGGUUGCCCUUCUCCGUUCCUUGCAGGCCCUUGGGUCAGGACCCACCACCUGCCGGACCAUCAUUUUCCGAGUCCCUCCGGCCUAGUCGGAGUGCUCGCUCGCGCCUCCUAAAGCUUUCAGCCGAGCGCGCCGAGACCCCUCAGGGCGGCCGCAAUUAAUGGAUGCCUGGAAGUUGACGUACAUAUAUAUUCAGAAAUGUUUUGCCACCUGAGACCUAUGAGGAGGAAAUCAAUGAAAAUUCUCUUAAAAGGUUAAGUGUCUACCUAGAAAACCUCCAGAAACCAGGCUUCAAGUCUUUGAAACCUACUCAGCUUACAUUUUAUGUAAGAGAAACAGAGCAGAGUUCCUCCGAUGGCCAGGAACCUUUUAGUACUUCCGGAUUUCGAGCAGUCAAAUUUACUUUGCACACCAGAGAUCUGCUAAGCACAGUGUUAUAUAUUCUCAACUCCUGCAGUUUAUCUGUUGAACAUAUCCAAAGCUUGAAUACUAAUGUGCAUACCCAGCCUCUCAAAGAAGCUAAAAGGAUGCCUGACAGGCCCAUCAAAUG
RNAcentral lists this small RNA (594 nucleotides) under Pan troglodytes (chimpanzee). RNAcentral describes it as "processed transcript". Lineage: Eukaryota; Metazoa; Chordata; Mammalia; Primates; Hominidae. The record is from RNAcentral.